RNAcentral lists this ribosomal RNA (522 nucleotides) under embryophyte environmental sample. RNAcentral describes it as "eukaryotic LSU rRNA". The stretch from base 118 to 273 matches the Rfam family "5.8S ribosomal RNA". Lineage: Eukaryota; Viridiplantae; Streptophyta. The record is from RNAcentral.
AAGGAGAAGUCGUAACAAGGUUUCCGUAGGUGAACCUGCGGAAUGACCCGCGAACUUGUUUGGGGCCCGGAGACGGUGUCCCGCGGGAGUCGUCACGCCACAACAUUUACAUACAAUGACUUUCGGCAACGGAUAUCUCGGCUCUUGCAUCGAUGAAGAACGUAGCGAAAUGCGAUACUUGGUGUGAAUUGCAGAAUCCCGUGAACCAUCGAGUCUUUGAACGCAAGUUGCGCCCGAAGCCAUUAGGCCGAGGGCACGCCUGCCUGGGCGUCACACAUCGUUUCCCCAACGCAAACAUGUAACAAUGUUGCUGCGCGGGGUGUAUGCUGACCUCCCGCGAGCACCCGCCUCGUGGUUGGUUGAAAUCUGGGUUCAUGGCCGACUUCGCCGUGAUAAAAUGGUGGAUGAGCCACGCUCGAGACCAAUCACGUGCGAGCCGGUCAGUUCUGGACCCAUCGACGACCCUUUGCGUGCACGCACGCUCCCAACGAGACCUCAGGUCAGGCGGGGCUACCCGCUGAG